RNAcentral lists this long non-coding RNA (692 nucleotides) under Homo sapiens (human). RNAcentral describes it as "HSALNT0173930". The record is from RNAcentral. Lineage: Eukaryota; Metazoa; Chordata; Mammalia; Primates; Hominidae.
CCAGCUGCCGCCUCCAGGGGCCUGUCCCUCUGCAGGUCCCCAGCUCUGUCUCUCCCUCCCUCUCCUGCUCAGGCUGAGACUUGUGUUUUCCCGGGGAAGCCAACUCCAAGACCCUCUCUCCUGAGUCCCUGCCCGGAUAACAGGCUCUCUCCUUGGAAUGUUUUCCCUACAAUCCUCAUGAGAACACGGCCCUGGAGGUGGCCAUGCCCCCUUCCAUCCCUUCUUACCGCUGCAAAUGCAAACUUGGCUGUUUUGCACAUCCUGGGUUUGAAUUCUGUCUCCAUCACUUCCCAGCUAUGUGACCUUGAGCAAGUUACUCAACCUCUCCAUGCCUCUGACUCCUCUACCAAGAGGGGAUAAUAACAUACCUACCUCCCUGGAACUGUGCUGUGAGGCCUCAAUGGAAACCAAGCAAAGCACUUAGAACCCUGCCUGCCUAAGUGUUAGUAAUGGCUGCCCAGACCACCUGUCCAGCGGUUAGAGCUCAGGACCCAUGUGACAGGCUCUGAAGCUGCAGCCCCACAACGGAUGGCUACCUCUGCACAGGGAAAGACCUGGAUGCUCUAUUCAUUCAACAGAAUACAGAAGGCACUGGGAAUAGAGUGAACAAUGACAACCAAUGCACAGCUGCCCACAAGGUGGGCUCCUGGGGGAGGGUCAUCCCUCUGAGAAGAGGGCGGCACCAAGACCCA